UUCGAUACUUUUUUUUACUGCUGGGUUCAAGAUUGCUAAUCUGUCAUGCCGCCUGGCGUCCUCUAUAUUUUUAGAACACUUUAUUCUCAUAACUUCAUAUUACUCAAGUUGAGUAUUAAAUUUUUGUUCUACAUAACUUUCCAGUGAAAGUCUUGCUGCCGCACUGUGAAGUGUGGCAUUGCAAUUAUUUUUGUCUAAUAAUGGUCAUACUUCCCUUUACUGGGACCUCAAUUAACGAAGGAAGUACAACUAAUUGCACCAGGUACAUCCGCACAACUUUCCAACACAACUGGCCUUCUGAAGACGACAUUGAUCGCCGCAGACGGACUGGCGCCUUGCGUCGCAGGACUGCUCGCAAAUAGCGUUUGUACACUUAUUUGGACGGUU
RNAcentral lists this long non-coding RNA (387 nucleotides) under Triticum aestivum (bread wheat). RNAcentral describes it as "long non-coding RNA (TAES_LNC028413)". Lineage: Eukaryota; Viridiplantae; Streptophyta; Magnoliopsida; Poales; Poaceae. The record is from RNAcentral.